Molecule: ribosomal RNA, 539 nt
Filed under: uncultured Pseudomonadota bacterium
Lineage: Bacteria; Pseudomonadati; Pseudomonadota
Description: bacterial SSU rRNA
Rfam family: Bacterial small subunit ribosomal RNA
Source: RNAcentral
GAUGUGCCCAGAUGGGAUUAGCUAGUAGGUGGGGUAACGGCUCACCUAGGCGACGAUCCCUAGCUGGUCUGAGAGGAUGACCAGCCACACUGGAACUGAGACACGGUCCAGACUCCUACGGGAGGCAGCAGUGGGGAAUAUUGCACAAUGGGCGCAAGCCUGAUGCAGCCAUGCCGCGUGUAUGAAGAAGGCCUUCGGGUUGUAAAGUACUUUCAGCGAGGAGGAAGGCGUUGUGGUUAAUAACCGCAGCGAUUGACGUUACUCGCAGAAGAAGCACCGGCUAACUCCGUGCCAGCAGCCGCGGUAAUACGGAGGGUGCAAGCGUUAAUCGGAAUUACUGGGCGUAAAGCGCACGCAGGCGGUCUGUCAAGUCGGAUGUGAAAUCCCCGGGCUCAACCUGGGAACUGCAUCCGAAACUGGCAGGCUAGAGUCUUGUAGAGGGGGGUAGAAUUCCAGGUGUAGCGGUGAAAUGCGUAGAGAUCUGGAGGAAUACCGGUGGCGAAGGCGGCCCCCUGGACAAAGACUGACGCUCAGGUGCG